Heterocephalus glaber (naked mole-rat) is the source of this 767-nucleotide long non-coding RNA. RefSeq lists it as uncharacterized. Lineage: Eukaryota; Metazoa; Chordata; Mammalia; Rodentia; Bathyergidae. The record is from RefSeq and is a predicted model, not a curated record.
CCUAACUGAUUACCAAUAAAAAUCAGUGACUUGGACUGGCCAGAACCUUUGUUGGUUGCACAGGCAUUGGUCGUCCUGGAGCCCCACUUUCUGUCUCUUUUAGUUCUGUCUUUUAGAUUUUUUUUCUCAGGCCUGCGUCAUACACUUCUCAGGAGACUGGAUCCUACUGCAAAGAGUUUUGAAUUUUCCAUUUAAUUUUGGAUCAUGGUAGACUGUGGGCAGCUGAAACUGAAGAAAGCAAAACCAUGGAUAAAGACAGACAAGUAACUGUAAGUGUACAGGAUGCCUGAGAUCUAACAGACAAGUCAGAAUGGAGCAGGACUAACCAUUACUAUGCCAGAUGAUUGGUGGAUUAUCAGACUGAGAAUUACCUGAUUGAAGCCGCAGAGUGAAGAAGAGAAACCGAAAGAAAAAUGAAAUAGGAGUCGGCACAACUGUGGUUUACAAAUGAUCAUUCUCCAACAUUCAGCUUCUCACUCCCUUAGGUUUUAUUUCUCUUUUGCUCUACACUCAGAGAAUUUCUGGGCUCCAUAAUCCAUGGCCACUGAUGCUGCUUUUGGAGGUAGCAGCUUGCUUUACCUUACUUAUUUUCAAAUCUCAGAGAUCUUUUUAAAGUGGUUGUUCAGCUUUUUCCUCUACUGGAAAAAUGCUGGCAACAUCUCUGACUUUGUUGUUAAAAUGGGGGUAAAGAUAGAUAUCCUGAGGAUCCGUUUGUGAGAUGAGGGAUAUACUUAGGUGAAUCAAAAUAAAGAGAAAACAGAAAGAAA